RNAcentral lists this ribosomal RNA (433 nucleotides) under uncultured bacterium. Its description in RNAcentral is "partial 16S ribosomal RNA". It matches the Rfam family "Bacterial small subunit ribosomal RNA", at positions 29 to 507 of the family's 1533-position model. The record is from RNAcentral.
AACGAACGCUGGCGGCAUGCCUAACACAUGCAAGUCGAACGAGACCUUCGGGUCUAGUUGCGCACGGGUGCGUAACGCGUGGGAACCUGCCCUUAGGUUCGGAAUAACUCCCCGAAAGGGGUGCUAAUACCGGAUAAUGUCUUCGGACCAAAGAUUUAUCGCCUUUGGAUGGGCCCGCGUUGGAUUAGCUAGUUGGUAGUGUAAAAGCCUACCAAGGAGACGAUCCCUAGCUGGGCUGAGAGGAUGAGCAGCCACACUGGGACUGAGACACGGCCGAGACUCCUACGGGAGGCAGCAGUGGGGAAUAUUGGACAAUGGGCGAAAGCCUGAUGCAGCAAUGCCGCGUGAGUGAUGAAGGUCUUAGGGUUGUAAAGCUCUUUUACCCGGGACGAUAAUGACAGUACCGGGAGAAUAAGCACCGGCUAACUCCGUG